GAUGAACGCUGGCGGCGUGCCUAAUACAUGCAAGUCGAGCGAACGGACGAGAAGCUUGCUUCUCCGAUGUUAGCGGCGGACGGGUGAGUAACACGUGGAUAACCUACCUAUAAGACUGGGAUAACUUCGGGAAACCGGAGCUAAUACCGGAUAAUAUUUUGAACCGCAUGGUUCAAAAGUGAAAGACGGUCUUGCUGUCACUUAUAGAUGGAUCCGCGCUGCAUUAGCUAGUUGGUAAGGUAACGGCUUACCAAGGCAACGAUGCAUAGCCGACCUGAGAGGGUGAUCGGCCACACUGGAACUGAGACACGGUCCAGACUCCUACGGGAGGCAGCAGUAGGGAAUCUUCCGCAAUGGGCGAAAGCCUGACGGAGCAACGCCGCGUGAGUGAUGAAGGUCUUCGGAUCGUAAAACUCUGUUAUUAGGGAAGAACAUAUGUGUAAGUAACUGUGCACAUCUUGACGGUACCUAAUCAGAAAGCCACGGCUAACUACGUGCCAGCAGCCGCGGUAAUACGUAGGUGGCAAGCGUUAUCCGGAAUUAUUGGGCGUAAAGCGCGCGUAGGCGGUUUUUUAAGUCUGAUGUGAAAGCCCACGGCUCAACCGUGGAGGGUCAUUGGAAACUGGAAAACUUGAGUGCAGAAGAGGAAAGUGGAAUUCCAUGUGUAGCGGUGAAAUGCGCAGAGAUAUGGAGGAACACCAGUGGCGAAGGCGACUUUCUGGUCUGUAACUGACGCUGAUGUGCGAAAGCGUGGGGAUCAAACAGGAUUAGAUACCCUGGUAGUCCACGCCGUAAACGAUGAGUGCUAAGUGUUAGGGGGUUUCCGCCCCUUAGUGCUGCAGCUAACGCAUUAAGCACUCCGCCUGGGGAGUACGACCGCAAGGUUGAAACUCAAAGGAAUUGACGGGGACCCGCACAAGCGGUGGAGCAUGUGGUUUAAUUCGAAGCAACGCGAAGAACCUUACCAAAUCUUGACAUCCUUUGACAACUCUAGAGAUAGAGCUUUCCCCUUCGGGGGACAAAGUGACAGGUGGUGCAUGGUUGUCGUCAGCUCGUGUCGUGAGAUGUUGGGUUAAGUCCCGCAACGAGCGCAACCCUUAAGCUUAGUUGCCAUCAUUAAGUUGGGCACUCUAAGUUGACUGCCGGUGACAAACCGGAGGAAGGUGGGGAUGACGUCAAAUCAUCGUGCCCCUUAUGAUUUGGGCUACACACGUGCUACAAUGGACAAUACAAAGGGCAGCGAAACCGCGAGGUCAAGCAAAUCCCAUAAAGUUGUUCUCAGUUCGGAUUGUAGUCUGCAACUCGACUACAUGAAGCUGGAAUCGCUAGUAAUCGUAGAUCAGCAUGCUACGGUGAAUACGUUCCCGGGUCU
RNAcentral lists this ribosomal RNA (1372 nucleotides) under uncultured bacterium. RNAcentral describes it as "bacterial SSU rRNA". It matches the Rfam family "Bacterial small subunit ribosomal RNA", at positions 28 to 1381 of the family's 1533-position model. The record is from RNAcentral.